Molecule: ribosomal RNA, 466 nt
Filed under: uncultured bacterium
Lineage: Bacteria
Description: partial 16S ribosomal RNA
Rfam family: Bacterial small subunit ribosomal RNA
Source: RNAcentral
GACGAACGCUGGCGGUGUGCUUAACACAUGCAAGUCGAACGGUAAGGCCCUUUCGGGGGUACACGAGUGGCGAACGGGUGAGUAACACGUGAGUAACCUGCCCUCAUCUCUGGGAUAACAGUCGGAAACGGUUGCUAAUACUGGAUAUGAGCUUGCAAGGCAUCUUGUGGGUUGGAAAGAUUUUUUUGGUUGGGAAUGGACUCGCGGCCUAUCAGCUUGUUGGUGAGGUAGUGGCUCACCAAGGCUUCGACGGGUAGCCGGCCUGAGAGGGCGACCGGCCACAUUGGGACUGAGAUACGGCCCAAACUCCUACGGGAGGCAGCAGUGGGGAAUAUUGCACAAUGGACGGAAGUCUGAUGCAGCAACGCCGCGUGCGGGAUGACGGCCUUCGGGUUGUAAACCGCUUUCAAUUGUGACGAAGCUUUUUGUGACGGUAGCAGUAGAAGAAGCACCGGCUAACUACGUG